Molecule: ribosomal RNA, 450 nt
Filed under: uncultured bacterium
Lineage: Bacteria
Description: bacterial SSU rRNA
Rfam family: Bacterial small subunit ribosomal RNA
Source: RNAcentral
UUGAUCCUGGCUCAAAACGAACGCUGGCGGCAUGCCUAACACUUGCAAGUCGAACGAGGCCCUUCGGGGUUUAGUGGCGCACGGGUGCGUAACGCGUGGGAAUCUGCCCUUUGGUUCGGAAUAACAGCUGGAAACGGCUGCUAAUACCGGAUGAUGACGAAAGUCCAAAGAUUUAUCGCCAGAGGAUGAGCCCGCGUUGGAUUAGGUAGUUGGUGGGGUAAAGGCCUACCAAGCCGACAAUCCAUAGCUGGUCUGAAAGGAUGAUCAGCCACACUGGGACUGAAACACGGCCCAAACUCCUACGGGAGGCAGCAGUGGGGAAUAUUGGACAAUGGGCGCAAGCCUGAUCCAGCAAUGCCGCGUGAGUGAUGAAGGCCCUAGGGUUGUAAAGCUCUUUUACCCGGGAAGAUAAUGACUGUACCGGGAGAAUAAGCCCCGGCUAACUCCGUG